This 253-nucleotide ribosomal RNA is filed under the name uncultured bacterium. RNAcentral's name for it is "partial 16S ribosomal RNA". It matches the Rfam family "Bacterial small subunit ribosomal RNA", at positions 524 to 776 of the family's 1533-position model. The record is from RNAcentral.
UACGUAGGUGGCGAGCGUUGUCCGGAUUUACUGGGCGUAAAGGGAGCGUAGGCGGAUUUUUAAGUGAGAUGUGAAAUACUCGGGCUCAACUUGAGUGCUGCAUUUCAAACUGGAAGUCUAGAGUGCAGGAGAGGAGAAUGGAAUUCCUAGUGUAACGGUGAAAUGCGUAGAGAUUAGGAAGAACACCAGUGGCGAAGGCGAUUCUCUGGACUGUAACUGACGCUGAGGCUCGAAAGCGUGGGGAGCAAACAGG